This 440-nucleotide ribosomal RNA is filed under the name uncultured bacterium. RNAcentral describes it as "bacterial SSU rRNA". It matches the Rfam family "Bacterial small subunit ribosomal RNA", at positions 338 to 771 of the family's 1533-position model. The record is from RNAcentral.
CCUACGGGAGGCUGCAGUUAGGAAUAUUGUGCAAUGGGGGAAACCCUGACACAGCCAUGCCGCGUGUGUGAAGAAGGCCCUAGGGUUGUAAAGCACUUUCAGUAGGGAGGAAUUAGCAAGGCUAAUACUCUUGUGAAAUGACGUUACCUACAGAAGAAGAUCCGGCUAACUCCGUGCCAGCAGCCGCGGUAAUACGGAGGGAUCGAACGUUAAUCGGAAUUACUGGGCGUAAAGCGCGCGUAGGCGGCUUGUUAAGUGGGAUGUGAAAGCCCCGGGCUCAACCUGGGAACUGCAUUCCAAACUGACAGACUUGAGUACGAUAGAGGGGGGUAGAAUUCAGAGUGUAGCGGUGAAAUGCGUAGAUAUUCUGAGGAAUACCGGUGGCGAAGGCGGCCCCCUGGAUUGAUACUGACGCUGAGGUGCGAAAGCGUGGGGAGCAA